UACGAAGGGGGCUAGCGUUGCUCGGAAUCACUGGGCGUAAAGGGUGCGUAGGCGGGUUCUUAAGUCAGAGGUGAAAUCCUGGAGCUCAACUCCAGAACUGCCUUUGAUACUGAGAGUCUUGAGUUCGGGAGAGGUGAGUGGAACUGCGAGUGUAGAGGUGAAAUUCGUAGAUAUUAGGAAGAACACCGGUGGCGAAGGCGGCCCACUGGUCCGGUACUGACGCUGAGGUGCGAAAGCGUGGGGAGCAAACAGG
This 253-nucleotide ribosomal RNA is filed under the name uncultured bacterium. RNAcentral's name for it is "partial 16S ribosomal RNA". It matches the Rfam family "Bacterial small subunit ribosomal RNA", at positions 524 to 776 of the family's 1533-position model. The record is from RNAcentral.